This 402-nucleotide ribosomal RNA is filed under the name uncultured prokaryote. RNAcentral describes it as "bacterial SSU rRNA". It matches the Rfam family "Bacterial small subunit ribosomal RNA", at positions 355 to 774 of the family's 1533-position model. The record is from RNAcentral.
UAGGGAAUAUUGGUAAUCUGGGAAACCGGGACCCAGCAACGCCGCGUGCGCGAUGACGGCCUUCGGGUUGUAACGCGCUUUUUGAGAGGAUGAGGAAGGACAGUACUCUUAGAAUAAGCCUCGGCUAACUACGUGCCAGCAGCCGCGGUAAAACGUAGGAGGCGAGCGUUAUCCGGCUUUACUGGGCGUAAAGCGUGUGUAGGCGGUUUGAUAAGUUGGAUGUGAAAGCUCCUGGCUUAACUGGGAGAGGUCGUUCAAAACUAUCAGACUUGAGAGUGGUAGAGGGAGGUGGAAUUCCGCAUGUAGUGGUGAAAUGCGUAGAUAUGCGGAGGAACACCAGUGGCGAAAGCGGCCUCCUGGCCCAUUUCUGACGCUCAGACACGAAAGCUAAGGUGGCAAACG